UGCAGUCGAACGAGACGGGAUGGAAUGACCCUUCGGGGGAAUGAAAUCCUAGAAAGUGGCGAACGGGUGAGUAACGCGUGGGUAACCUGCCCUAUGGAAAGGAAUAGCCUCGGGAAACUGGGAGUAAUGCCUUAUAAUAUACGAGAGUCGCAUGGCUUUUGUAUUAAACGCUCCGGUGCCAUAGGAUGGACCCGCGUCCCAUUAGCUAGUUGGUGAGAUAACAGCCCACCAAGGCAACGAUGGGUAACCGGUCUGAGAGGGCGAACGGUCACACUGGAACUGAGACACGGUCCAGACUCCUACGGGAGGCAGCAGUGGGGAAUAUUGCGCAAUGGGGGCAACCCUGACGCAGCAAUACCGCGUGAGUGAAGAAGGUUUUCGGAUCGUAAAGCUCUGUUAUUGGGGAAGAAAAAAGACGGUACCCAAGAAGAAAGUCCCGGCUAACUACGUGCCAGCAGCCGCGGUAAUACGUAGGGGACAAGCGUUGUCCGGAUUUACUGGGCGUAAAGGGCACGCAGGCGGUUUUUUAAGUCAGAUGUGAAAGGUACCGGCUCAACCGGUGACAUGCAUUUGAAACUGAAAGACUUGAGUAUUGGAGAGGCAAGUGGAAUUCCUAGUG
RNAcentral lists this ribosomal RNA (619 nucleotides) under uncultured Acetobacterium sp. RNAcentral describes it as "bacterial SSU rRNA". It matches the Rfam family "Bacterial small subunit ribosomal RNA", at positions 56 to 675 of the family's 1533-position model. Lineage: Bacteria; Bacillati; Bacillota; Clostridia; Eubacteriales; Eubacteriaceae. The record is from RNAcentral.